Molecule: long non-coding RNA, 1382 nt
Organism: Oncorhynchus masou masou (cherry salmon)
Lineage: Eukaryota; Metazoa; Chordata; Actinopteri; Salmoniformes; Salmonidae
Exons: 3
Source: RefSeq, a predicted model, not a curated record
UCUCCCAUUAAAAUGAUUGAAUUUAUCGUAGGCUAUUUACUAUCAUGGAGCCGCUAUUAAAGAUAUUCAAAAGGAUACGGGCUCGUGCAUCGUUAGGAAAGGACGGAUGGUAGAGGCGGGUUACCCACUCGUCGACGAAUUCUAUCAAGACACACGGACCUGUGUCCCCUGUAUUGGCGUAUUUUCUACAUGCGAAUGAAAGGGACUUGGCCCUGGUCCGGUAUCUGGAGUAAAUCCUUCACGUCCGAGAAAAAAUUCUUCAUCCAGUUCGAGGCUCAGGAGAGACAAAGGUUGAAAGCCAUGUGUCCUCCGAAAACACAACCAUGCCACACUGCUUCUUAACACAGCGCACAUCCAACCCAGGAGCCAGCCACACCAAUGUGUCAGAGGAAACACAGUGCACCUGGCGACCAAGUCAGCGUGCACUGUGCCCGGCCCGCCACAGGAGUCACUAGUGCACGAUGAGACAUUGGACCGCCCGGUCGUGGCCGGCUGCAACAGAGCCUGGGCUCGAACCCAGAGUCAUCGCAGUGCCACCAGAGACUCCCGCCACCCGGGAGGCCCUUGAUAUGUAUUUCUAAUCUCUUCUGUUAUUAAAGGUUUGAUCUAUGACAGCGGAAACAAAGUAGUUCCAAUGAUCAACUAUGUGUAGUAUGGUGUGUACGUGUUUUAAUAGUAUAAUCAACUGGCCUGGACAGGAACCUGAUCUGUUUGCUCUCUGUUCCCAUAUCGAGUCAUUAUGUACAGAUCAAAGGCUUUGUGCUGUCUGGGUCUGAGGGCCACCUCUCCAAAGCCAGACUACUGAGGCCUGAAUAAAGUAAUGAAUGUCAUCCUGGUUUGAUAACCACAACUAUGUGUCCAGGGAAAAAUAACGUCUGCCUGCUUAUUGGAUAUCGGAACAGCAUUAUAUAGGCCAGGCCAGGGGCACCUGGUGGAACUAUGGCUGAGAUUACUAUAGAAACUGUAUGUUCGGUGAAAACAUGAAAGAGCUCAAAUCUCUGAGGGAUUGUCAGAUUGAGUCCGUGUGGCAGGGCUAUCUAUCUGUGUUAGACAUGCUGGACAAAACAAUUCGAUUUUUAGGUUACUCAGUUUGGAAACCAGCAGUGGUGGCUGGAGUAAAAAUGUCUUCACAGUUUUAGAAUUUGCUGUAGGCCAGGCCUGUGUUGAUUAUGACACUGUUAUGCUUGGUGAAGGAGUGUAAUGGGAGUUGCACGUAAAACCUGACAGUAUUUGGCUUUAGCCAUCCAGCUGUCCCAAUGUCAUCCUCCUAUCAUGCCUGGCUGCUUAGGUGGCCUAUUUGGCGAGCUGAUUACUAAGUGUUUGAGUAGACCAGAUAAUUACAGUUCUGCUGUUGUCAGAAUUCUACAAAAUGUCAUAUACUG